Molecule: ribosomal RNA, 1605 nt
Filed under: Triticum aestivum (bread wheat)
Lineage: Eukaryota; Viridiplantae; Streptophyta; Magnoliopsida; Poales; Poaceae
Description: partial small subunit ribosomal RNA
Source: RNAcentral
AUGAAUUGUGCCCCUCCUCUGUCAUUUCUCUCUCUUCCUUACCGGUUCCCAGCUCCUCCUCUUCAGUCUUCACUAAUACAUCGACACCAUCCAGCAUCCCAUAUACAUCCUUCCACCGCCGCUCCAGCCAUCUUUUUGUUAUCUUUGUCCGGCUGCUACCUCCUACCUCGCUCGACAUAUAUGUUGCACUGUUGUCGAUGGAGCGGCGUCAAACACCCUCCCAGCUGUGCAUCAAGGGCGAGCCCUCGCGAUGUCCACGUCGGCAACGGUACAAGACAAAAAGGUUCCCUUCGCCGAGAAGAAAGAGAGAAAGAGAUUGGCCAGCAGCGUAGCCCCCAGUCCCCAUCCCCAAUUCCUCUCCCUCUCCCUUUCCCUCGUCUGCCGCCGCCAGCCCCACCGCCGCCCUCCCCGCAGCCGCCGCCACCACCGGCGCCCAGGUGUGGCGCUGCUCUUCCCCACGGUCCUGACGGCAAGGCGGCGACAAGAGUUAGAAGGCGGACGCGGACAGCCCCGUCAGAUCUCGUCCCAAUGAAGUCAAGGACGAGCUCCACCCGGACGAUGUCGAUCCGCCCCCCUGCCACACUUCUCCAUCGCGUCACCAUAUUCGGAGGAGCCGCGACUUCUGCUCGCGCAUCUGCUCCUCCCGAAGUUGUCGCCAUCGGCAGGAGGAGUGCCGGACCGCGCGCCAACUCGAGGACCGCCGCUCCGGCGGACCGUUGUUUCUGGCCGCCGUCCGCCUCUGGUGCCCGGCACAGGAGCUUCCCGGCGCAGGUCAUCUUCCUCUCCUUUGUCCUCCCCCAUUCCCCUCCUAGACACUCGUUGAUUAAGAGAGCAGUUGGUGGUAGGAAGGACAGAGGACGCGGAGAACUCAUGGUUAGGUGUACGGCGAGGGGAGGAGGAGGAAGCACUUCUCUGACAAGAUCCAUAGCCACCACUUCAUCAUCGGCGGCAACCCUCUGUAUUUCCAAUGAUGAAUUGUGUCACGGGAGCCGAUACGGCGGCAGACACAAGCAGAGCAAAGCGAAGCCGGCGCGACGGCCGGGCCCUCCAAGCACACAACCACUGCCUCCUCGCCAAAAUACGCUAGCCUGCAUCUACAAGGAAAAAAAGGAACUUGCCCGUAUGGUGUUCACUAAAAAGAAGAAUCUGCUAAAAGGUUGGUCCAUGCUUAUCUUCACUGAUUACAUCUUCUUCGUGGUUGGAUGUGGGCUGUACGUGGACAUGAACUUGUUCCUGGGAUUCAGAAGGGAGCACGUGCCAUGGAACUUCAAGAAGACGGAGAACCAUGUGUACCUCCAUGUCGUGCUUUGGCAGAAGCUGGAUGCCGACGAGUCAGAACCUGCUGAAGAAGCCACUCUGCUCACCAUUGUCUCAUCAACUAUGAAUAUGGUGUAUGGUGUACUCACAUCCAUGCCAUCUAUUGCCACAUUUGCAGACUUUGACAGUUUUGGUGUUGCACCUAUAUACUACAUGCUGAACAAGUUUCAGAUUGAGGAGAGCCUGCUUAUGGGCUACGAUUUCGACUACGAGGAUUCCACGCCAGCGUGCACGAUAUUCACCAACUCUGACGAGGCUCACGCGGCCGCCCUCCUCUUGGUUAACUAA